Molecule: ribosomal RNA, 501 nt
Filed under: uncultured bacterium
Lineage: Bacteria
Description: partial 16S ribosomal RNA
Rfam family: Bacterial small subunit ribosomal RNA
Source: RNAcentral
AUUGAACGCUGGCGGCAUGCCUUACACAUGCAAGUCGAACGGCAGCACGGGUGCUUGCACCUGGUGGCGAGUGGCGAACGGGUGAGUAAUACAUCGGAACGUACCUUAUCGUGGGGGAUAACGCAGCGAAAGCUGUGCUAAUACCGCAUACGCCCUGAGGGGGAAAGCGGGGGAUCGCAAGACCUCGCGCGAUUAGAGCGGCCGAUGCCUGAUUAGCUGGUUGGUGGGGUAAAAGCCCACCAAGGCGACGAUCAGUAGCUGGUCUGAGAGGACGAUCAGCCACGCUGGGACUGAGACACGGCCCAGACUCCUACGGGAGGCAGCAGUGGGGAAUUUUGGACAAUGGGGGCAACCCUGAUCCAGCAAUGCCGCGUAAGUGAAGAAGGCCUUCGGGUUGUAAAGCUCUUUUGUCAGGGAAGAAACACCGGCUCUAACACAGUCCGGGAAUGACGGUACCUGAAGAAUAAGCACCGGCUAACUACGUGCCAGCCGCCGCCGUAA